CAAAGUGUAGCUUAACC
Molecule: transfer RNA, 17 nt
Filed under: Galeopterus variegatus (Sunda flying lemur)
Lineage: Eukaryota; Metazoa; Chordata; Mammalia; Dermoptera; Cynocephalidae
Description: partial tRNA-Val
Source: RNAcentral